This 1485-nucleotide ribosomal RNA is filed under the name Triticum aestivum (bread wheat). Its description in RNAcentral is "partial small subunit ribosomal RNA". The record is from RNAcentral. Lineage: Eukaryota; Viridiplantae; Streptophyta; Magnoliopsida; Poales; Poaceae.
CUUGAGAAUCACCAGGCCCGGCCCAUAGGCCGGGCAAACGGGGCGCCCGCCCUGGGCCCCCGGAAGGCAGGGGCCCCAGCCCGAGAGGUAGUAUUGCUUCGUACGUGUAAGAAGCCCAAAAACAUAUCGAGAAAGCAGAGGGCGGAUUCAGCCGUGGGGCAAAACCCAUCGUCAAUCUUUCUCCUCGACCCCUCCACUUCGCAAGGUCCUGACUCCUAUAACAGCGCCGCCGCUCCGAUGCCUUACUGAUUCCAAGGUCGCCAUCGGCCAUUAAUGGAGAUUAAAGGCGAAAAUCCAUUCCCAAAUCGUCUCUCCUUCCUUUCUCAGUGUUCGUCUCGUUCCCCAACAAUCAGAUGUUGGAGAUGUGGAGACGGUGUUCUUCUAAUAUUAACUGGAUCUAAGUGUGAGAGAGUCCUCGGGAGUCAGGAGAUUAGAAGAACUGCAGAAUGGGGAAAUUAUUCAGUUCUUGGUGUCGUCUUCUCGUUCGUGCUGACUACUGCAACCUGCGGAUCUGGCAACCUACAUCCACAUGAAUACAUAUUUAGGCCACAGCUGAAUCCAUGGCGAAAUGCUUCCUGGUGCUCGUCUUCAUGGCAUUUCUCCUGCCGGCGGCCUACGCGAUGUGCCACCCUGACGACCUCCAAGCGCCGCGGGGCUUNNNNNNNNNNGCCAGGAAGGUACUUGGAUCUCUCAAAUAAUUCAUUUUGGUCAGUGAGGUACCCAAGGGUUUGACACUACUCAAGGGCCUCACCGUUGUCGAUCGUUCACUAGGUAUUGCUUUCACUAACUUGCUAUUGUAUGUGAAGAGCAAUAGAAGGACACUCCAACAACAACAAUCAAAUACCAUUACUGGCACCAACAAACAGUGUCAGAUCUGGGAGUGGCAAUAUUGUAUCUGGGAACGGCAACACUGUCGUAUCUGGGGACAACAAUAAUGUUUCUGGGAGCAACAACACAGUCACAUCUGGGAGCAGCAAUGUCAUAGUUGACAGCAACCAUGUCGUUACUGGGAGCAACAAUACUGUAUCGGGCAAUAACAAUAGGGUAACUGGGAACAAUAAUGUUGUAUCAGGGAGCAACCAAGUCGUGUCCGGGGACAACAAAGUCGUAACUGGCUAAUGAUCUGUCAGUGAAUUGAUUUCGGCUUCUCUGGUGCAUAGCUCAUACGUCCUUGCCAAGUUCAAUGUUGCUCACUAUUACUUGGUGGGCCCACUCGCGUUUGUAACUUCAUGGAUAUAGCAUCCUACCUACUUAAAAUAAUUUUUCCCUAAAAUAUCUAUAGAACUUUUUACAUAAUAAAUGCUGACAUGAACAGCAAUGGCGACUUGCAGCUUAUGUACAAGUUUUCAUCGUGGAUGUCUAGAUGUGUUUAUUUCAUCUAUUCUGUUAUCUGUAAUGUGUGAUGUUUUAGUAUAUAUGAAGAUUGGUCUAUGAAUUAUUACUGCUCAAUGUCAUCUAGCUAUACACUUCUCAAGUGAUGCAAUA